Molecule: ribosomal RNA, 497 nt
Filed under: uncultured bacterium
Lineage: Bacteria
Description: partial 16S ribosomal RNA
Rfam family: Bacterial small subunit ribosomal RNA
Source: RNAcentral
GAUGAACGCUGGCGGCGUGCCUAAUACAUGCAAGUCGAGCGAACGGACGAGAAGCUUGCUUCUCUGAUGUUAGCGGCGGACGGGUGAGUAACACGUGGAUAACCUACCUAUAAGACUGGGAUAACUUCGGGAAACCGGAGCUAAUACCGGAUAAUAUUUUGAACCGCAUGGUUCAAAAGUGAAAGACGGUCUUGCUGUCACUUAUAGAUGGAUCCGCGCUGCAUUAGCUAGUUGGUAAGGUAACGGCUUACCAAGGCAACGAUGCAUAGCCGACCUGAGAGGGGGAGCGGGCCCCCCGGAAAGUGGAAACGGGCCCGACCCCCCAGGGGGGCAGGAGGGGGGAAAUUUCCCGAAAGGGGGAAAAGCUUAGCGAGACAACCCCGGGGGGGGAUGAAGGGUUUCGGGUUUGAAAAACCUUUUUUUAGGGAAAAAAAAUAGGUGGAAGAAACUGUGCCCAUCUGGCGGGAACUAAAUCAAAAGCCCAGGGUAACUUCGGG